GACGAACGCUGGCGGCGUGCUUAACACAUGCAAGUCGAACGGAAAGGCCCUGCUUGCAGGGUGCUCGAGUGGCGAACGGGUGAGUAACACGUGGGUGAUCUGCCCCUUACUUUGGGAUAAGCCUGGGAAACUGGGUCUAAUACUGGAUAGGACCAUGCUGUAGGUGGUGUGGUGGAAAGAUUAGUUUCGGUAAGGGAUGAGCUCGCGGCCUAUCAGCUUGUUGGUGGGGUAAUGGCCUACCAAGGCGUCGACGGGUAGCCGGCCUGAGAGGGUGGACGGCCACAUUGGGACUGAGAUACGGCGCAGACUCCUACGGGAGGCAGCAGUGGGGAAGAGUGCACAAUGGGCGCAAGCCUGAUGCAGCGACGCCGCGUGGGGGAUGACGGCCUUCGGGUUGUAAACUCCUUUCAGCCAUGACGAAGCCCUUGUGGUGACGGUAGUGGUAGAAGAAGCACCGGCUAACUACGUG
This 469-nucleotide ribosomal RNA is filed under the name uncultured bacterium. Its description in RNAcentral is "partial 16S ribosomal RNA". It matches the Rfam family "Bacterial small subunit ribosomal RNA", at positions 28 to 507 of the family's 1533-position model. The record is from RNAcentral.